GACGAACGCUGGCGGCGUGCUUAACACAUGCAAGUCGAACGGAAAGGCCCCUUCGGGGGUACUCGAGUGGCGAACGGGUGAGUAACACGUGAGUAACCUGCCCUUGACUUCGGGAUAACUUCAGGAAACUGGGGCUAAUACCGGAUAGGAAUCCUUGCUGCAUGGUGGGGGUUGGAAAGCUUCGGCGGUUUUGGAUGGACUCGCGGCUUAUCAGCUUGUUGGUGGGGUAGUGGCUUACCAAGGCUUUGACGGGUAGCCGGCCUGAGAGGGCGACCGGCCACAGUGGGACUGAGAUACGGCCCAGACUCCUACGGGAGGCAGCAGUGGGGAAUAUUGCACAAUGGGCGGAAGCCUGAUGCAGCAACGCCGCGUGCGGGAUGACGGCCUUCGGGUUGUAAACCGCUUUCAGCAGGGGCGAAGCUUGUGGUGACGGUACCUGCAGAAGAAGCACCGGCUAACUACGUG
This 465-nucleotide ribosomal RNA is filed under the name uncultured bacterium. RNAcentral describes it as "partial 16S ribosomal RNA". It matches the Rfam family "Bacterial small subunit ribosomal RNA", at positions 28 to 507 of the family's 1533-position model. The record is from RNAcentral.